RNAcentral lists this long non-coding RNA (256 nucleotides) under Physcomitrium patens. RNAcentral describes it as "long non-coding RNA (PPAT_LNC000033)". The record is from RNAcentral. Lineage: Eukaryota; Viridiplantae; Streptophyta; Bryopsida; Funariales; Funariaceae.
UGAGCUCAAAUUUACAAUACAUAUUGAACACAACUAUAACCAUUAAUCUACAAAAUUUUACUUAUAAAUCUAUUACAAAACUCUUGAAAUCACCCAAAAUAUAAAUCCUAUUUUAUUUCAAAAAAUCCAAGUCAUCCAAAACAAUCUUUGACUUUGCAAAGCUCUUAAAAAGUCAAUACAGAUCCAAAUCAUCCAAAACUAAUGCUCAUAAAAACCUUAUCUAGUCUUUUUAAAAAUCUCACUCUUCGAUUUGCCA